ACACGAUACUCGAUACUCGAUACAUAUAGCAAAAAGUAUCGAACUCGUUACUUUUUGCGAUAUGUAUCGAGUAUCGAGUAUCCUGU
Molecule: microRNA precursor, 86 nt
Filed under: Mayetiola destructor (Hessian fly)
Lineage: Eukaryota; Metazoa; Arthropoda; Insecta; Diptera; Cecidomyiidae
Description: microRNA MIR158
Source: RNAcentral